ACGGCCAUAACGCCCCCAGUGGUGAGGCAGACAGGCAGCCUGACAGUAAUAUUAAAUAAUAACAAGAAGCAAUCUGCAUAAGUAACUGACAUACAAACUUAAAAGACACAUUUGUGUCAAGUUUUGCCCUGAAAAGCUCAGGAGUUCUUGUAGACGGGUCAAAAAGAGAACAUAAAAUCCUGAGGGUUGAAUACCACGAGCGCCAUUUUCUGGGUGUGGCAUGGCUAUUUCACCCAUGAGCUGGCCGCAUCUGUGAUUACUUACAGAAGUGUGCAUACGAUCAAACCAGUAAAAUGAAUCAUCAUCCUAAUACCUACACUAAUUGGACUCGUGGACCACAAACAAAGGAGAGGAAAUAAAGACAAGACGGAGACAUGCUGAUAAUUCUACAAUAUCUGGUUAUAUGCUAGAGAGGAAAACCCACAGUAAUCCAGUCCAAAAACCUGGAUGGCUCAGUAUUUCCGUCUGAUAUUGAAGGCCUGGAGUUAUCUGGAAUACCAGUACUGAUACGAAGCAGUCCAAACAAGCUGGAGUCCCAAAAUGCUCAGAAUAAAAGCAGCAACAGCAGCGGCAGCGGGAGCAGCAGCAGAAUUUCUGCAUUUGCUCAGAACAAGAGGAAAAGCAGGUCGUGUGCAGACAACUGUAUUGCUGAGAUCUCAAGAGUGUUACUUUGCUGUCAACUGGAAGACAUACUCUCACGGCAGGCAUUCUGGGCCCCUGGAUAUUAAAAUCUUUCCAAGUGCU
Molecule: long non-coding RNA, 744 nt
Organism: Mus caroli (Ryukyu mouse)
Lineage: Eukaryota; Metazoa; Chordata; Mammalia; Rodentia; Muridae
Source: RefSeq, a predicted model, not a curated record